UAAGGAAUAUUGGUCAAUGGAGGCAACUCUGAACCAGCCAUGCCGCGUGCAGGAAGACGGCCCUCUGGGUUGUAAACUGCUUUUAUUCGGGAAUAAACCUAUCUACGUGUAGAUAGCUGAAUGUACCGAAGGAAUAAGGAUCGGCUAACUCCGUGCCAGCAGCCGCGGUAAUACGGAGGAUCCAAGCGUUAUCCGGAUUUAUUGGGUUUAAAGGGUGCGUAGGCGGCCUAUUAAGUCAGGGGUGAAAGACGGUAGCUCAACUAUCGCAGUGCCCUUGAUACUGAUGAGCUUGAAUGAACUAGAGGUAGGCGGAAUGUGACAAGUAGCGGCGAAAUGCAUAGAUAUGUCACAGAACACCGAUUGCGAAGGCAGCUUACUAUGGUUUUAUUGACGCUGAGGCACGAAAGCGUGGGGAUCAAACA
RNAcentral lists this ribosomal RNA (422 nucleotides) under uncultured bacterium. Its description in RNAcentral is "bacterial SSU rRNA". It matches the Rfam family "Bacterial small subunit ribosomal RNA", at positions 355 to 774 of the family's 1533-position model. The record is from RNAcentral.